Molecule: ribosomal RNA, 670 nt
Filed under: Ganoderma sp. 1 TRK-2010
Lineage: Eukaryota; Fungi; Basidiomycota; Agaricomycetes; Polyporales; Polyporaceae
Description: SSU rRNA
Rfam family: Bacterial small subunit ribosomal RNA
Source: RNAcentral
CAUUGGGGAUGAAAUCUCCCCAAGUAGUAAUAACACUACCAGCAGUCGAGAAUAUUAGUCAAUGCUCGUAAGAGUGAACUAGCUAACUGAAAUCAUAGAAUUUUUUCAAAUUCAUGAUGUCGUAAGGGAAAAUAAUGAUAAUACCUUACUAUGAGUGUCGUCCAAAUCUGGUGCCAGAAGACUCGGUAAGACCAGAGACGCAAACGUUAAUCAUCAUAAACAGGCGUAAAGGGUUUGUAGGCAGCUUUUAUAAAAUAUUUCAAAAACUAAAUUAAAAGCUAGAAUCAAAAAGAGGUUAUAGUGUAUAACGCCUAGAGGAGGGCUGAUAUCCAUAGAUCCUAGGCAGAAUACUCAGGGCGAAGGCCACUCUCCACUAAUGAUUGACGCUGAGAAACGAAGGUUAGGGUAGGAAAUAGGAUUAGAUACCCCGGUACUCCUUUCUGUAAACGAUGAAUGGUAGUCAUUAGUUAAAUUAAAAUAACUAGAGGCGAAGUUAACACAAUAACCAUUCCGCCUUGUGAGUACUACUGCAAAGUAGAAAACAAAAAAAUUAGUCGGUCUCGAAGCAAACGGAGUGAAGCAUGUUAUUUAAUACGAUAAUCCGCGUAAAACCUUUCCAGAACUUGCAUACAAACUAUAAAUUUUCUUUCCUGAAAAGGUAGAGGAAAUA